Molecule: ribosomal RNA, 493 nt
Filed under: uncultured bacterium
Lineage: Bacteria
Description: partial 16S ribosomal RNA
Rfam family: Bacterial small subunit ribosomal RNA
Source: RNAcentral
AUUGAACGCUGGCGGCAUGCUUUACACAUGCAAGUCGAACGGUAACAGGUUAAGCUGACGAGUGGCGAACGGGUGAGUAAUGCAUCGGAACGUGCCCGGUCGUGGGGGAUAACGCAGCGAAAGCUGCGCUAAUACCGCAUACGAUCUGAGGAUGAAAGCGGGGGACCGUGAGGCCUCGCGCGAUCGGAGCGGCCGAUGUCAGAUUAGGUAGUUGGUGAGGUAAAGGCUAACCAAGCCAACGAUCUGUAGCUGGUCUGAGAGGACGACCAGCCACACUGGGACUGAGACACGGCCCAGACUCCUACGGGAGGCAGCAGGGGGGAAUUGUGGACAAUGGGCGAAAGCCUGAUUCAGCAAUGCCGCGUGCAGGAAGAAGGCCUUCGGGUUGUAAACUGCUUUUGUACGGAGCGAAAAGGCUCUCUCUAAUACAGGGGGCUCAUGACGGUACCGUAAGAAUAAGCACCGGCUAACUACGUGCCAGCCGCCGCAGUAA